This 928-nucleotide ribosomal RNA is filed under the name Bunodosoma sp. PL-2017. RNAcentral's name for it is "eukaryotic LSU rRNA". It matches the Rfam family "Eukaryotic large subunit ribosomal RNA", at positions 77 to 814 of the family's 3401-position model. Lineage: Eukaryota; Metazoa; Cnidaria; Anthozoa; Actiniaria; Actiniidae. The record is from RNAcentral.
CCCCUAGUAAUGGCGAAUGAAGCGGGAACAGCUCAAAUUUGAAAUCUCCGUCGCCUGCGACGGCGAAUUGUAGUUUCUAGAAGCACUUUCUAGGCGAUUCGGGGCCGUCCAAGUUGCUUGGAACAGCACGUCAUAGAGGGUGACAACCCCGUCUGUGGCGGAACCGGGCGUUGACGAUGUGCUUUCGACGAGUCGGGUUGUUUGGGAAUGCAGCCCAAAAUGGGUGGUAAACUCCAUCUAAAGCUAAAUACUGGCACGAGACCGAUAGCGAACAAGUACCGUGAGGGAAAGAUGAAAAGCACUUUGAAAAGAGAGUUAAAAAGUACGUGAAACCGUUAAAAGGGAAACGAAUGAGGUUAGCAAUGCGCUCUGCGAGAUUCAGCCGGUGGUUGGGCUGGGCGAGCGGUUUGCGGAUCUGAAUGGACCGCGGCCGUUCGGGUCGGUCCCUCGACCGUCGCACUUCUCACGAGCGCGCGUCAGUGUCGGUUGGAACUGGGUUUUAAAGUCGCCGGGAAGGUAGGUCAGUCCCUCCGGGGUCAGACUGUUAUAGACCGGUGUUCUUAUGGCCCGGAUCCUACCGAGGUGCCGCGGCGCGUGCCUCUUCUGGCUGGGGUCCCGUCGUUCCGGUCGGUAGUCGACUGUGGUGGACUGCGUGCAGUGCAUCGCGACUGCUGCCGGUCGCUUCGGCGGUGACCUCACACAACGCGCCCAGGACGCUGGCGGUGACAUGGCCUCAUCCGACCCGUCUUGAAACACGGACCAAGGAGUCUAACAUGUGCGCGAGUCUUUGAGUGAUCGAAACUCGCAGGCGGAAUGAAAGUGAAGGUGGCUUCGGCCGCUGAGGUGAGAACCCCUCCUUGCGGGGGGCGCAUCAUCGACCGACCUAUUCUACUCUUAGGAAGGUUGAGUAAGAGCGCAUCUGUUGGAC